RNAcentral lists this ribosomal RNA (26 nucleotides) under Ochrobactrum sp. n-99. RNAcentral's name for it is "partial 23S ribosomal RNA". Lineage: Bacteria; Pseudomonadati; Pseudomonadota; Alphaproteobacteria; Hyphomicrobiales; Brucellaceae. The record is from RNAcentral.
AUCAAGUGUCUUAAGGGCAUUUGUGG